ACUUUACAAAGUGUGAAGAAUGCCUUGGGACUUCCUCGUCGUUUUGGGUGGAAUGAGGAUCCAUGUCUUCCCCAACAACAUCCGUGGAGCAGAGUGGAUUGCCAAUUUAACAAAAACAUUGGCACGUGGGUCAUUGAUGGGCUGCGAAGUUCUUGGCAUUCUUGGUCAUCAAACCGUGGGCUUUAGAUUUUGUGGUUCAUGACUACAUUCUCAUGCCAUUUCUAGACAAGUUUACCCAUCCUAUUUGGUGGACAUUGAAAGGGACUACUUGGCCUUAAGCAAGUGGUAUCCAAAAUUAUCAAUAUCCCCGGAAUUCACCAAGAUUGUUCUGCACUGGCCAAAGGGAAACCUGAAUCUGUCAUUACACACUCUUGUUAGGUAUAUUCUUUUUUUAAGUUGCCCUGCUACAGUGCAAUGUAGUUUGUCAUCGGCCUUCUUUCUAUUGGCUGCGCAGUUAGUUCUGCUUAUGUGUUGGGGGAGAGUUCGGAAAUGGAGCUAUUUUUUAUGGGAUUAAGAUUAGAUUUUUAUGCUUCUGGAUUUCUUUAUGGCAGAAACUUUUUAGAGUAAACAGUUUAUUGUUUCUGUUUGUGACCUCAUUGAAGUAGAUGCAUAAGUGAAUUUCAAUGGUCGAAGUGCCCCAAUACAAGUAAAUGCAACUAGGAGCACUAUAACAUGUAGUGCUCUGAGAGCACCAAAGCAUUUCAACCCAAUAUAAGAAGGUCAUUGGCUUGGAUGUAUUACCCUGGUAGAUGGUGAUCUGAAGUUUGAAUUUUGCAGGCAUCAGAGCAUGGGUUUAGCAAUGGUGCAGUCGAAAGAACAGAUUGUGAGGAUGAAAGUUUUAAGACAAUAAAUGACUUCCUGGUGAGUCAUUGGUCUUUUUCUUUUCUUCUUGCCUUCUUCACCUACUUUGUGUUUAUCUAUGAAUUAGAGAUGUCUAAUGAGUAGGACCGCAUGCAUCCUUUGAUCAUGUUUUGAUAGUCCAUCCGAAUGUUCUAAUUUUUCAGAUAUAUAAGCCUCUUCACAUCGUGCUCCCCCAAAUCAAUUGUUCCAAUUUCCCUAGAAGUGCUU
Molecule: long non-coding RNA, 1068 nt
Organism: Magnolia sinica
Lineage: Eukaryota; Viridiplantae; Streptophyta; Magnoliopsida; Magnoliales; Magnoliaceae
Exons: 4
Source: RefSeq, a predicted model, not a curated record